UAAGAUAGUGAGACCCUUGAGUAGGACUCUGUACUACAUUGGUUAUUCUGUUCCAGUCUAGUUUUCCAGACCACCUCAAGCUUUAGUAAUAGAAUAUCCGUUUGAAGAAAAAAAAAUAUUUAUAAAUGGAAAUUUCAGAUAUUAUUAUUAUUAUUUUUUCAUAAGUGAUGGGUGUCAAAAUAUCAUUAGCUAAAAUGAAAUUGUCCGGUUUACAACAAGUUGAUCACCCUUACAAUUACGAAAACUGCUUCUUCAGAAAGAAAAAUAAUAAUAAAUUAUGCAUAGAGC
RNAcentral lists this long non-coding RNA (288 nucleotides) under Brassica napus (rape). Its description in RNAcentral is "long non-coding RNA (BNAP_LNC023049)". Lineage: Eukaryota; Viridiplantae; Streptophyta; Magnoliopsida; Brassicales; Brassicaceae. The record is from RNAcentral.